GUGACAGGUGUUAUAGUGGUGAGCAUAGCUGCCUUCCAAGCAGUUGACCUGGGUUCGAUUCCCGGCCAAUACA
Non-coding RNA from Albula glossodonta (roundjaw bonefish), 73 nucleotides. The record is from the annotation of a GenBank genome assembly. NCBI's taxonomy places the organism in Eukaryota, Metazoa, Chordata, Actinopteri, Albuliformes, Albulidae.